RNAcentral lists this ribosomal RNA (421 nucleotides) under uncultured bacterium. RNAcentral's name for it is "bacterial SSU rRNA". It matches the Rfam family "Bacterial small subunit ribosomal RNA", at positions 98 to 518 of the family's 1533-position model. The record is from RNAcentral.
GCGACGGGUAGAGUAACGCGUAUACCAACCUUCCUAUACAGAGGAUACGCCGGCGAAAGUCGGAUUAAUACUCUAUGUUCUUCGUAGAAGACAUCUGAAAUGAAGCAAAGGUUUACCGGUAUAGGAUGGGGAUGCGUCUGAUUAGGUUGUUGGCGGGGUAACGGCCCACCAAGCCCACGAUCAGUAGGGGUUCUGAGAGGAAGGUCCCCCACAUUGGAACUGAGACACGGUCCAAACUCCUACGGGAGGCAGCAGUGAGGAAUAUUGGUCAAUGGACGAGAGUCUGAACCAGCCAAGUAGCGUGCAGGAUGACGGCCCUAUGGGUUGUAAACUGCUUUUAUACAGGGAUAAAGUGCACUACGUGUAGUGUUUUGUAGGUACUGUAUGAAUAAGGACCGGCUAAUUCCGUGCCAGCCGCCGC